RNAcentral lists this ribosomal RNA (257 nucleotides) under uncultured Oscillibacter sp. RNAcentral's name for it is "partial 16S ribosomal RNA". It matches the Rfam family "Bacterial small subunit ribosomal RNA", at positions 81 to 339 of the family's 1533-position model. The record is from RNAcentral. Lineage: Bacteria; Bacillati; Bacillota; Clostridia; Eubacteriales; Oscillospiraceae.
UGCUUUGCUGACGAGUGGCGGACGGGUGAGUAAUGUCUGGGAAACUGCCUUUCAGAGGGGGACAACAGUUGGAAACGACUGCUAAUACCGCAUGACACAUAGAUGUCGCAUGGCAUUUAUGUCAAAGAUUUAUCGCUGAAAGAUGGCCUCGCGUCUGAUUAGCUAGUUGGUGAGGUAACGGCCCACCAAGGCGACGAUCAGUAGCCGGACUGAGAGGUUGAACGGCCACAUUGGGACUGAGAUACGGCCCAGACUCC